UUGGUAAAUUUGACGGUGAGGUCUUCUCUGUUUUGAGCUGGGAUUUGGCAGAGGUACUACUGGGUUGUUGCUGCUGGUCUUGAAGCUUUGUGUUGCUCUCUUGUGGUUGUGUUCUUGUGUUGGAGAUAGCUUUUGUAGCUGAGUCUCUGUUCUGUUCAGGUUGUUGAACAGGGAGGACGUGGUUGUACUCACAUACAUUUAUAUAGUGGAUUGUUGAGUGGACUACGGUCCCGUGGUUUUUUUCUUCUCACAUCGAGUAGGUUUUCUACGUAAAAAGUGUUUGUCUCAUUUAGUUAUUGCUUAUACUAUAUCCUGCUAUCUUCGAAGUAUUUUCCUCUCAGAUUCUCACAAGGUCAGGGGGAACACGAUAGUACAUUCCGCUGCACUGUGUGUUUUAACCCCAUCAAAGUGGUAUCAGAGCUUUUGGUUUUAGAGCUUUGGGGUUGAUAACUUCGGGUUAUGGUUGCUUGUGAGAAUGAUGGAAAAUACGAGCAGGGUGAUAAGCUUGAAUGGUGCUAAAUAUCAUCUAUGGAAGGGUAAGAUGGAGGAUUUUCUCUUUGUUAAAGAAUUCCAUUUUCAAGUCUUCGAGGAGAAGAAAUCUGAGAAGAAGACGGAUAAAGAGUGGAAGCUUCUGCAUCGCCAAGUGUGUGGGUUGAUAAGGCAGUGGGUAGAUGAUAAUGUGUUGCAUCAUAUUGAGACUGAGACGGAUGCUCGUUCUUUGUGGAAGAAGCUGGAGCAGUUGUAUGCAAGGAAGACCGGAAACAACAAGAUGUACAUGAUCAAGAAGUUGAUUGAGCUGAGGUAUCAGGAGGAAACUCCGAUGACGGGUCACUUGAAUCGUUUUAGGGAUUGCUCAACAAGCUGUCUGAUAUGGGCAUCAAGUUUGAUGAUGAGAUUCACGGUCUAUGGCUUCUCGGUACUUUACUGGAUUCUUGAGAGGUUUUUAGGAUGUCUCUUUGUAACUCCGUGUCGGAAGGUGUUAUUUCGAUGGAUUCAGUGAAGAACAGUGUUCUUAAUGAGGAAGCAAGAAGACAGUCGAACGCUAGCAGUUCGUGUUCAGAUGUCUUUGUUACUGAGUCAAGGGGGAGGAGUUCGAGUAGAGAUCCCAGAGAGACAAGAACAGGAGCAGGAGAAAAUCUAAUAAAUUUGCUAACAUGGAGUGCUAUUUCUGUCACAAGAAAGGGCACAUGAAGAAGGAUUGUUGGAAGUUGAAAAACAAGCAGCAAGGAAAUCAAGAAGAAAAAGUGGAUCGGGUGACUGUCACCGAAGAUCAGUUUUUCAUUCUUCUUGAGGGUGAUGCCAUUAAUGUUGCAUGCCAAAACACCAGUUGGGUGAUUGAUAGUGGAGCUACUACUCAUGCAACAUCACAGCGGGAUUUGUUUUCUACCUAUACUACGGGUAAUUAUGGUUCCGUGAAGAUGGGAAAUGAUGCAAUGGCUCAGGUUGCUGGCAUUGGCGAUAUAUGCUUGGAGACUAGUCUUGGGACUAGGUUGAUGCUUAAGGAUGUUAAGCAUGUCCCUGAUAUUAGGAUGAAUCUGAUAUCAACGGGAAGGCUUGAUGAUGAGGGUUAUUUCAGUUUGCACGGUGGUGGUAAAUGGAAGCUCUCUCGCGGUGCUUUGAUUGUGGCUCGAGGUGAGAAAUCCUCAUCCUUCUAUUAGAUGCAGGCUAAGGUCUCCAAAGACGCUGUUAAUGCGGUGGAGAAUGAUGGUGCCAUGGAGUUAUGGCAUAAGAGACUCGGUCACAUGAGUGAGAAGGGAAUGUCUGUGUUGUCUAAGAAUGAGGUGAUUCCAGGAAUCUGUGGUUUGCACCUGCAGAAGUGAUCGCAUUGCUUUGCGGGAAAACAACACAAGGUGUCUUUCAAGUCUUAUGCGCCUUCUAGGAAACCCGAGGUACUCGAUUUGGUACAUUCAGAUGUGUGUGGUCCAAUGAAGACAAGAUCCAUUUGCGGCGCAUCAUAUUUUGUGACUUUCAUUGAUGAUCAUUCAAGGAAGUUGUGGUUAUUUCCUAUGAGGACGAAGGAUCAGGUGCUGGGAUAUUUCAACCAUUUUGUGGCGUUGGUAGAGAGACAAACGGGAAAGAAGCUGAAGUGUAUCCGCAGUGAUAAUUGUGGAGAGUAUUCUGGACCAUUUGAUGCUUAUUGUAAAGAGCAUGGAAUAAGACAUCAGUUCACGCCACCAUGAUGAUCUAAUUAGGAUUUAGUACUCCCGGUGAAGAAACCCGUGAGAAAGCUGUUGCUGAUUCCAAGCGGAUCGAUUAUCUCUGCAGUCAUCUAUGUUUUCUCCGCAAGGUCAUCAGGGAGAAGGGUGUCAACAUAAAAGGAUACUUUGCAUGGGCUCUUGGAGAUAAUUAUGAAUUCUGCAAAGGUUUUACCGUUAGAUUCGGACUUAGUUACGUUAACUGGACAGACCUCAAUGAUAGAAAUCUCAAAAAAUCUGGCAAAUGGUACCAAAGCUUUAUUAACGGUACCACUAAGAACCCUGCCAAACAAGAUUUCUGCCCCCCAAACCUCUCCUUCCAGAACCAGAAGAAGAAGCUCUCAGAUGCAUGAAACACUUUAUCCCACCAUCAUGAUCAUCUUCAUAUCUCUACUACUUGCUUCAUAGAUAAGGGGCUUGUUGUACUAAAUAAAUAUUCCAAUAAAAGAUGAUCAUUUUUACUAAUGAAUAUUUUAGUUUAAGUUCAA
Long non-coding RNA from Brassica napus (rape), 2683 nucleotides. RefSeq lists it as uncharacterized. The record is from RefSeq and is a predicted model, not a curated record. The transcript has 2 exons. NCBI's taxonomy places the organism in Eukaryota, Viridiplantae, Streptophyta, Magnoliopsida, Brassicales, Brassicaceae.